RNAcentral lists this ribosomal RNA (319 nucleotides) under uncultured Chloroflexota bacterium. RNAcentral describes it as "bacterial SSU rRNA". It matches the Rfam family "Bacterial small subunit ribosomal RNA", at positions 28 to 351 of the family's 1533-position model. Lineage: Bacteria; Bacillati; Chloroflexota. The record is from RNAcentral.
GAUGAACGCUGGCGGCGUGCCUAAUACAUGCAAGUCGAACGAGGAUGUAGCAAUACGUCCUAGUGGCGAACGGGUGAGUAACGCGUUGGUGACCUACCCCAAAGUCUGGGAUAACCCCGCGAAAGCGGGGCUAAUACCGGAUGUGGUCAUCGGGAUUAGAAUCCGAUGUCUAAAGGAGCAAUUCGCUUUGGGAGGGGCCUGCGUCCCAUCAGCUAGUUGGUAGGGUAACGGCCUACCAAGGCGACGACGGGUAGGGGACCUCAGAGGGUGGCCCCCCACAAUGGAACUGAAACACGGUCCAGACACCUACGGGUGGCAG